GACGAACGCUGGCGGCGUGCCUAAUACAUGCAAGUUGAGCGAUGAAGAUUGGUGCUUGCACCAAUUUGAAGAGCAGCGCACGGGUGAGUAACGCGUGGGGAAUCUGCCUUUGAGCGGGGGACAACAUUUGGAAACGAAUGCUAAUACCGCAUAACAACUUUAAACAUAAGUUUUAAGUUUGAAAGAUGCAAUUGCAUCACUCAAAGAUGAUCCCGCGUUGUAUUAGCUAGUUGGUGAGGUAAAGGCUCACCAAGGCGAUGAUACAUAGCCGACCUGAGAGGGUGAUCGGCCACAUUGGGACUGAGACACGGCCCAAACUCCUACGGGAGGCAGCAGUAGGGAAUCUUCGGCAAGGGACGAAAGUCUGACCGAGCAACGCCGCGUGAGUGAAGAAGGUUUUCGGAUCGUAAAACUCUGUUGGUAGAGAAGAACGUUGGUGAGAGUGGAAAGCUCAUCAAGUGACGGUAACUACCCAGAAAGGGACGGCUAACUACGUG
Molecule: ribosomal RNA, 497 nt
Filed under: uncultured bacterium
Lineage: Bacteria
Description: partial 16S ribosomal RNA
Rfam family: Bacterial small subunit ribosomal RNA
Source: RNAcentral